AACCAAGGCAACGAUGCAUAGCCGACCUGAGAGGGUGAUCGGCCACACUGGAACUGAGACACGGUCCAGACUCCUACGGGAGGCAGCAGUAGGGGAAUCUUUCCGCAAUGGGCGAAAGCCUGACGGAGCAACGCCGCGUGAGUGAUGAAGGUCUUCGGAUCGUAAAAACUCUGUUAUUAGGGAAGAACAUAUGUGUAAGUAACUGUGCACAUCUUGACGGUACCUAAUCAGAAAGCCACGGCUAACUACGUGCCAGCAGCCGCGGUAAUACGUAGGUGGCAAGCGUUAUCCGGAAUUAUUGGGCGUAAAGCGCGCGUAGGCGGUUUUUUAAGUCUGACGUGAAAGCCCACGGCUCAACCGUGGAGGGUCAUUGGAAACUGGAAAACUUGAGUGCAGAAGAGGAAAGUGGAAUUCCAUGUGUAGCGGUGAAAUGCGCAGAGAUAUGGAGGAACACCAGUGGCGAAGGCGACUUUCUGGUCUGUAACUGACGCUGAUGUGCGAAAGCGUGGGGAUCAAACAGGAUUAGAUACCCUGGUAGUCCACGCCGUAAACGAUGAGUGCUAAGUGUUAGGGGGUUUCCGCCCCUUAGUGCUGCAGCUAACGCAUUAAGCACUCCGCCUGGGGAGUACGACCGCA
This 636-nucleotide ribosomal RNA is filed under the name uncultured Staphylococcus sp. RNAcentral's name for it is "bacterial SSU rRNA". It matches the Rfam family "Bacterial small subunit ribosomal RNA", at positions 266 to 890 of the family's 1533-position model. The record is from RNAcentral. Lineage: Bacteria; Bacillati; Bacillota; Bacilli; Caryophanales; Staphylococcaceae.